Molecule: long non-coding RNA, 326 nt
Organism: Hemiscyllium ocellatum (epaulette shark)
Lineage: Eukaryota; Metazoa; Chordata; Chondrichthyes; Orectolobiformes; Hemiscylliidae
Exons: 3
Source: RefSeq, a predicted model, not a curated record
GAAGACCGGAGAGAUUAAGCAGCAGAAAUGUAAUCCCUCAAGGCCACGGGGAAUGGAGUUAGGGCUGGGAAAGAAACAAGGAAGCAAGGGAUCUGCACUGGAACCCUUCUGUUUGCGGGACAAAUAUAUAUAAGUGACAUGGAUUAAAAUCUAAUUUGGUCAACACAUCCAUGAACCAAGCAAUGAUUCCUCAUCCAACACUCACAGGAAAUAUCUGAUGCCUUCUCAUUUGAAUGUUCACAGAAAUCAUUGGAUUAAUAUUACAAAUGAAGAUACGUCUAAUUGUUUUAGACUCCAAUCAUUAAUGUUCAUUUCUACAUUUUACA